AACGAACGCUGGCGGCGUGCCUAACACAUGCAAGUCGAACGAGAAAGGGGCUUCGGCCCUGAGUAAAGUGGCGCACGGGUGAGUAACACGUAGGUAACCUGCCUUUAAGGCUGGGAUAACCCGUCGAAAGAUGGGCUAAUACCGGAUGAGACCACGGGUUCUUAGGGAUUUGGGGUCAAAGGUCGCCUCUGCAAGCAAGCGAUCGCUUAGAGAUGGGCCUGCGCACCAUUAGCUAGNGGUAGGUACGCUACAGCCAAGAUGUUAGCUGGUCUGAGAGGAUGAUCAGCCACACUGGAACUGAGACACGGUCCAGACUCCUACGGGAGGCAGCAGUGGGGAAUAUUGCGCAAUGGGCGAAAGCCUGACGCAGCAACGCCGCGUGAGUGAUGAAGGCC
This 395-nucleotide ribosomal RNA is filed under the name uncultured bacterium. RNAcentral's name for it is "bacterial SSU rRNA". It matches the Rfam family "Bacterial small subunit ribosomal RNA", at positions 29 to 416 of the family's 1533-position model. The record is from RNAcentral.